RNAcentral lists this ribosomal RNA (253 nucleotides) under uncultured bacterium. RNAcentral describes it as "partial 16S ribosomal RNA". It matches the Rfam family "Bacterial small subunit ribosomal RNA", at positions 524 to 776 of the family's 1533-position model. The record is from RNAcentral.
UACAGAGGUCUCGAGCGUUAGGCGGAAUCACUGGGCUUAAAGCGUGUGUAGGUGGAUGCCUAAGUACCUUGUGAAAUCCCACAGCUUAACUGUGGAACUGCUUGGUAUACUGGGUGUCUUGAGUCACUCAGGGGCGAGCGGAACAAAUGGUGGAGCGGUGAAAUGCGUAGAUAUCAUUUGGAACGCCAAUGGUGAAAACAGCUCGCUGGGGGUGCACUGACACUGAGACACGAAAGCCAGGGGAGCGAACGGG